This 76-nucleotide small RNA is filed under the name Polaribacter atrinae. RNAcentral's name for it is "Flavo-1 RNA". It matches the Rfam family "Flavo-1 RNA". Lineage: Bacteria; Pseudomonadati; Bacteroidota; Flavobacteriia; Flavobacteriales; Flavobacteriaceae. The record is from Rfam by way of RNAcentral.
AAAUAGCUAGCGUUAGCGAUUGAAAAGGCAUCCUUUUUUUGUUUAAAAAAAGAUAUAGUGUAAAGCGCGACCCUUG